CUCCACCCUUCACUCGCCUCAUUGUGCCCAGGCAGCACCAAGGUCAGAAAUUAAUUGGAGACACUGCAAAACACACAGCCUGUAAUAUUUCAGUUCAGUGAGGUCACAAGAAAAACUCAGUUAAAGCCUUAUUAGAGCAGUUUACAGGAGCACAUUACUGCGAAUAUGAAAUGAGAGUCUUGUCUUGAUGGAUGCGUCACCUACCCAAGAUAUUUGUUGAGAAUAAUUUGAAAAUCACCCCCGUACAUGGUUGUAUAUUCUUCGUUGUGGGUCCUUCUAGUUGUGGCAUGUGGGACGCUGCCUCAGCGUGGUUUGACGAGCAGUGCCAUGUCCGCGCCCAGGAUUCGAACCAACGAAACACUGGGCCGCCUGCAGCGGAGCGCGCGAACUUAACCACUCGGCCACGGGGCCAGCCCCUGCAAUUAAUAUUUUUAUCCGGCCCAAGAAUCCUCUACCUACGGCUGGCAGAUGAAGAAAAGAAAUCGGAGGAGGCACACUGUCUACAGGCGGAGAACCGGACGGUGGCCCCCCACAAACCCACUGGGACUCCUGGUGCUAGCACCUCCGGUUUGACAGCCUGAUGCUCAUUUCCUCCGUCUCUGACCCUGUCAUGGAAUCUAACUCAGGCUGCCGAUGUUUCUUACUGCUCUCACUUCCUGUUUGCUACUCAGUAUUGUACCACAUCCUGAUUUCUAUGUUUUCACCUCAGCCUCGUAACCUAAAAAUAACUUUUCUCUGAUGCCCUCCUGGCUUUCUAGGGUUUAAAGUUCUGCCCCACACUCUGACUAAAUAAGUGCACUGCAGCUCCCCAUCAGGAGUAAUGCAUUGAAAUGGAGUAACAGAAAUGAAACACAACAUUCUCCUUUUGUAAAACAGAGCCGUAGGAAUGCUUCCUGGUAUCUAAUACAUUUGGUCGGUCAUGAUAUCACACAGCCGUAUUUCAUAAAAGCCUUUUAUCCAUACCUUUUAGUUAGUGCAUUGACAACAAAAUUUGGUUUAUCCCCCCUACUAUAUUUGUUUAAUCUUUUUUGUCCCCUAUCUACCUUGUAUUGACCAUUACUAAAUGUCAUCUUUUCUAGAUUAACCAAUUUUCUUAGUCAUCUUGUAUAUUAUUCCUGGUUUCUAGAACAGUAACAUUGUUACUUAGUUUAGUAAUAUUUACAAAUUUGUUGAGCAAAUUCUCGGUUAUAUUUUCUAUUAGAUUUAUUCAUUGAAAUUACCAUGAAUUAGAUCAGUACAUCUGCCUAAAGUCUGGAGAAGAUCAAUUAUAUUAAAUAUUUCAAAUAUUUGAAAAUUGGAUUGGAAGAUCUUUCAAUAAUACUAAAAUAUUCUCUCUCUAGAAAUAUAUCUGAGUUACAUCCCAUCAGAGACUUAAAUUCAGACUAGACAAGACAUAAGAAAUGUUAUUUAAAGAAUAUUCUUUUAUUACAUAUAAGAUUAAGUUAACUGACAUAUGAUGUGCUUUUUGUUUUCCACUUUGUGAUUUUAUGAUCCUUUAUUUACAAGGUCUAUAGGAUUUUCAGCCUGAAUGCAAUUCAUUUGUUUGCAUCCAAGUUAUUCUCCUAUUUACACACAGGAGUUUCCAUCCUAAUGCUGAUUUAAUAUUCUUUUUAAAUAUCAUGUUAAAAUCUCAAGGAUAUAAAGGAAAAUAGAUGUAAUAUUUUAAUGCUGGUUUAUGUCCAUAUUCCACUUGAAAUGUAUAUGGAAAGCACAAGAAAAUAGCUCCUUUCACUUCAGAAUGUUUGCCAUGUCUUUGAUAAGAAAACAAGAAGUCGAACUGCAUGCUGGGAUGUUCUGUCUUGAAAACAGUCCAUGUUUUCAUCCAAGGAAUCAUCUGAAGAGACACACAGACAGCUGCAGACUCGUCCCAUAGCUAAGAGUCUUCCAGAGAAUCCUAUGAAGCCACUGCCACAGUCCAUGGGGAAAUGGCUGACCUCUGACCCCGCCUGACAGCCAGUACUCUUGUUAUCCUGCUGUGCAACAAGUCAAAUUAGGCUAUAAUUACUCUGCAGACAACAGGCUGCAAUUAUACAUUCAAGUCUCAGGGUCUGGAAGGAGGGAGAUUGUGGCUGGAAGGGGAUGAGGAGAAGUCAAAAAGUCACAAGACAAACCACUUUUUCAUAUUUUUCUCUAAAAAAGCAUAGCUGUAAUGUGUGCUCCUUAAGAGGAGGAUCAAACCACAGUGGACAGCAACCAUUCUCUUACUCAAAACACCAUGAAGACAUUGCUUUCAAGGACUCUAAUAGAUGGAUACACCAAAGGCUAUGUGACUAUCUAAUAAAUAAAAGGAAGGAAACUCUGUGGUUCCCAGACGUUCCUGUGCAGAUGCUGUUUACUAUUACUGAUUCAUUUUAAUUCAACAAAAAAUUAAUAAACAAUAAUUAGGGACCAGAUUGGGACUGGGAGAAAUAAGAUAUGCACUUAAUAUUUUUCAGUUAUGUUUUAAGAACUACUUUGUUUUCAUUUUUUAAUUUAUAUAAAGUCUAGGUAUGAAGAAAUUUUCAUUAAAGCAGACCACAGUAUUCCGGAAAAAUAUUUCUAAAACCCUAUCUUUAAAUAUGCAAAAUGUUUUACAACAGCAAAUUAUGUAGGUUGAACAGCAUAGAACUGCCCAUAGAAGUCAGUCUGCACUGGCUGCCUUUGAGAUUGUCUGCAAAACUGUCAGCACUUCUGCUCUCCCUAGCCAAGGUUGUAGAUUUACCACAUAAUUUAGAGUUUUCUCAGGAAUGAGAUGGCUUGUAUUUGCUCACCAAAUUUCUGUUGUUUGCUUGUUCUGCCUGUUGAAAUGACUUUAGGACUAAACACCCAUCUCCUAAUGAGGCAAACCAGGCCAUUAAAAAUAUCUUCCUCAUGUUAAAACAGAAGGCUUUGUUUUAGUUAUCAUCCAUUGAUAACUAAACUCUAUGUUUUGUGUACGAGUCCCUGGCCACAUUCCACUUGGAAAAUCUUUUAAUCUUUAAAGACAGUUAUAAUGCUACCCCCCUAACUGGAUAUUCUUUGUUUAUUUUCUCUCUGACAUGAUUUUAACUCUUUUAGCAAUCUCAUAUGGACAAAUAUCCUUAUACUUUAUGGCACCUAGAACUUAAUACAAAAUUCCGGAGGUGUUCUGAUUAAUGCAAAACAGUCUGGCACUGUCCCCUUCAUUGUUCUAUUGUUCUAUUAAUACACUGUGAUCACAGAGUUCUCUGAGCACCCACAUUAAAGUGUUGCCUCUCUUGGAACUUACUACAAACCAAAACCUCAAAGUCUUUUUCACACAUGCUCCAAUGUGUGCUUUUUUCUACACCACCAAGCAAUUAACUCUGACCAAGUAAUUCAUUCUGACACUAUCUACCUGGAGAUAGCAUCAGAUCCCACAGGUUAAAGGCUCAGUUCCACAAGACUGCACUCACUUCAGACUCCAAUAGUAAGUCCAAGAUCUUACCUGUGUUUCUGACUCACUGGCUAUAAAUGGAUGUCCCCACGACCCACUCCUUGGGUUGGAUUAAUUUGCUAUAGCAGCUCACAGAACUCGGAGAAACACUUUAUUUACCAAAUUAUCAGUUUAUUAUAAAAGGAUACACUUUAUUUACCAAAUUAUCAGUUUAUUAUAAAAGGAUAUAAUUCAGGAACAGCCAGAUGGAAGAGAUGUGUAGGGCAAGGUAUGGGGAAAGAGGAACUUCCAUGCCCUCCUCAGGCGCAUCGCUCUCUGAGCACCUCCACGUGUUCACGAACCUGAAAGCUCACCAAUCCCCAUCCUUUUGAGUUUUUAUGGAGGUUUCGUUACAUAGUCAAGAUUGACUAAAUAAUUGACCAUUGGUGAUUGCUUCAACCUUCAGCCCCUCUCCCCUCCCAAGGGGUCAAGGGGAUUGGACUGUAAGUUUUGACCCUCUAAUCACUCCAUUGGUUCCCCUGGCAACCAGUUCCCCAUUCUUAGGUUAUCUAGAGGCUUUCCAAGAAGUCACCUCAUUAACAUAACAAAAGACGCUUUUGUGGCUCUCACCUCUUUUGAAAUUCCAAGGGUUUUAGGAGCUCUGAGACUUGGGUGCCUGGGAGAAAGACCAAAUAUUUAUUUCUCAUGAUAAAUCACAGUACCACACAAGCUAAGCCACAUACAUUGCUUCUCUCAGGUGUUCUCACUUUUCUUUCUUGGAUCCAAGGGUCAGUUCUUACAUUUAUCUUGGUUAAAUUUCAUCUUGUUCAUUUCGACCAAAUAAUGCCAGUUUUCAAUAUCAUUCUAGAUUCCGAAGCUGUCAUUCAAAGUACAAGUGCCCAAUGAAAUGUUAUUAAUGGAAUAAAUUAAGCAAAACUACCAGCAAUACAAAUAAAUGAUUCAUAAUUUCAUACCAAUAGGUUAAAAUUAUAUGACAAUACAAUUACAUCAUUGAAGUAAUGUCCUCUAUAUUUCAUUCAAGGAGAAUAAUUCAACUGAAGUAAAUAAAGCCAAGGUUAACACGAGACUCUUCCACUAAGAUUAUAUUAAUUUAGUGGUAGCAAGUAUGGUCUUGGAGUCAAACUUCUUGUGUUCAUAUAUUGGCAUCUCCUUUUGCUUAUUGAGUGAACUUGGCAAAGUUUACUUACUCUCUAACCCUCAGUUUCCUUGUCUGUAAAACUGGAAUAUACCUCUCAUAGGUUACGUUAAAUAUUAAAUGAGAUAACACAUAUGUUUAGUACAACAUGUGGCACAUGGUAAGUGUUCAGUAAAUGAUAGUUAUUAGAUUAUUAUUAUGUGAACAAUUUUUAAAUAAAAUCCUUCAACUCUUCUCGAAUCUAUUUAGUUGUUUUAAAUCUAGUCCACACUUUCCAAUCUCUUCCACUAAAAUCCCAUAAGAAAAUUUAUCAAGUGCCUUGCUAAUGCCUCUACACGUUCUACACAUUUGUCAUAUAUCUGCUAUAUAUUCCUGAUUAUUCAGUCAGGUAAGCCCAUGAAAGACAGACCUGAGCUCAGUCUGAUAUGACUUUUCCAAGUGUUUUAGGUAAUCUAUGUGAUAAUUAUGGAUUAUUAAUUAUUUGUUAAAUAUUCAUAGUCAUUUAAAUAUCCAUUCCAGAUUUUACCCGGAAUGGAUGUUGAGUUCAUAUGUUUGAAAUAAAUAUCCUUACAAGAAGUUUAAGUUAAUCCAAACUUUUCUUUCUAAAUAUUUAUUCUCACUUAUAGUUCUGUAGCCAAAAAUCUCGAAACUUAUUUUUAAUGACAGGAAGCAGCAAAAGAAAAGUACAGGUAGAAUUUUCUAAUGAUCUAUUAUUCAGCUUCCUCACACACAUUCUUUUUCAAUCAGAUUUCUUCUUCUAGAAACCAGAGUAAGUGUCUAACAUGAACAAAUAUGCAAACUAGCAGAGUUAAUUCGUAGAUUAAUUUCAGGAUAAUGAAUUCAUCCUUAAUGGAGCAAAUUCCAAGACUCAGGAAUAUUUAAUGCUGUGCACUCAGGUAAACAUAGAAAUAUGCCACGUAUACCAGUCUUGGCCAAUAAACCUCCAAAAAUCUGAGGAAAUAUCAUUGUCAUGUACAGUGGAGGGGGCCAAUUCAAAAAGUCUGGGUUUGGCCACUUUCACUUGACUUUAACAUUAUUUCAUCUUGAAGCCUUGUAUUUCUUUCAAUUGACUUUAACGUUUUUUCAUCUUAAAGCCUUCUCUGUAUUUCUCAUAUACGAAAUGAAAUGUGAUGUUUGGAUAAGACGGCAUUGAAACAAAUCUUAAUAUUAAUGACAAAAUUAAUAAUUAUUAUAUAAUUACUAAAGUCCCUUCCAGCUCCAAAAUGUUGUCUUUGAUUUUGACUUUCAUGGACAAAAUAACCCGAAACUAAUUCAGCACAAGUUAACAAACAUCUUUCUUUCUUUCUUUCUUCUUUAAAGAUUGUCCCUGAGCUAACAUCUGUUUCCAAUCUCCCUCUUUUUUUUUUCUUCUCCCCAAAACCCCCAAUACAUAGUUGUAUAUUCUAGUUGUUGGUCCUUCUAAUUCUGUUAUAUAGGACAUUGCCUCAGCAUGGCUUGAUGAGCAGUGCUAGGUCCAUGCCCAGGAUCUGAACUGGUGAAACCCUGGGUGACCAAAAUGGGGUGCCCAAGCUUAACCACUCAGCCCCAGGGCUGACCCCAACAUCUUUCAUCUUGUUCAACAUUGAUAUACCAAUGUUAAUGCAUCUUCCCUGACUACUUAGCAAAACACAUGAAUGUAUAAAGAUAGAGGAUCACAAUUACUGUUUGAGAGCAGACGAAAAGUGAAAAAAAAUUGAUUUUUUUUUUCGAGGAAGAUUACCCCUGAGCUAACAUCUGCCACCAAUCCUCCUCUUUUGCUGAGGAAGAUUGGCCCUGAGCUAACAUCUAUGCCCAUCUCUCUCUAUUUUAUAUGUGGGAUGCCUGCCACAGCAUGGCUUGAUGAGUGGUGCGUAAGUCCACACCUAGGGUUCCAAACCUGCGAACCCUGGGGCCACCAAAGCAAAGCGUACAAACUCAACCACCAUGCCACCAGCCCAGUCCUGAAUUGAUUCCUUAAUUGCAAAACAUCCCUCCAUUAGUCUCCGUUGUUCUUCUCUAGGGAUUCUCUACACUUCAAGAAGUAAAAUUCAAUACUCUCCCCUCCUCCUCUGACCUUGUCUGCUUCCGUCUCCUUCCCUAUGGCCUCUAUUUCCACCUCUGGCUGCAGAAAAAUUAGUAUUUGUGGAAAACAGUACAGCAUGAUUCAAUGAAGAUCUGGAUCAAAGUGAAAAUGGAUGAAUUGUCAUAACCAUGAUUUAUUCAAUCAAAAAGAAAAGAGAAGAGGGAGUAAUGUUGCAGAACCUUCAAUUCUGGUUGUUACUGACUGAAUUCUCUACAGAAGAUAAUGACUUCUCACUCUGGGAGAAAGAAAAUCUCAUCCAUUCAGUUCAUUUGAUCUACGACAAACUUCAGCUGAGGUGGAAAGUGGCAAAUUCAGGAUUCCAACCUUCAUUUUCUCACUUCAACGCCACCACUCCUAACCACCAUCCUGUACAAUGCCCCUAUCGCCAUGGCCUGGGGCCAAGAAGCUGAAUGGAAAAGGACAUUUCUAUUUACUUCAGAGGAAGUUCGUUAUGAAAUAAGGAUCAUCCUUGAAUACUCCUUUCUCCAUGGUCACAAGAUUGUUACAAAGAGGUGACAUAAAGUACCUCUCCUGAUUAUGAUUCUGGACUGCCUGUGUUCAAACCUCAGCUCUGUGACUCCUGAUGAAUAGUUCAAUUCUUCUGUUUCCCUACAUGUAAAAUGGGUACAGCAAUAGUGCCUGCCUCAUUGGUCACUGUGAUGAUUAUAAAUGUAAUGCCCUCAAAAUCGCAUAUGGCACUAACCAUGCCAUCAAGUACGUGCAUGCCCUCAACUAGCUCACAGCUUUGACAUUUCAAGACAAAAAUAAGGCUUUCCCACAAUUUUCAUUUAGUGUUUAAUUUCCAUUUCAUGUUACAUCAAUUACAUUUUUCUAAGACAGAAAAUAUGCCAAGUGCUAUAAAAUAUAUAUUAUGCUCAAUAUGAGCUCUGAAAGGACAUUACUUUAAAGCAAAAGUGCUUACAAAGAAAUAAAUGUUUAGAAAGCAUAUUCUGAAAAGAGCCAGCUAUUACAAUGAUAUAAAGAUAUGUGCAAUGCACUCUAAUUUUCCAUUUUUAGAAAUUGCAAAGCAUGUUAUGUCUUGACACGAGCCUGGUAAAGAUCUCGUUCCGUUCCCCUCACUUUUUUCAAAUAAUUAUGGGUUCCAACUUCUUUUCUAUUACUGUAAUUUAAAAUAUCAAGGCAUGAAACAUAAGUAAUAAGAUGGAGUUUCUUUGUAUUCUCUGGACUUUUGCUUUAAAGAUGGAGAAUAAAGCAAAAGAGUUAUAAGGAUAGAAAUUCACUUGCGACCACCUGGCUGUGAAAAGCCUGAAUGUGCUGGAGUGAUUGGGUGGUCCUGGGGGCCACCCACUCAGUUCAGGCUGAAGAGGGUAAGAAAGGAAAGAAAAGAAGGAAAGAGACCCUUUUGUCCUUCUGUGUCCCCUGCUGCCUGCAUGUUCUCUCUGUAGCACUUCUCAAUGGAAUAUUAUCUAGGUCUUCUUUUCCUUUCUGCUUUAGCUCUGUCUCUUAGCCCAUUUAAAGUUCCUCUCUCUCACCUUUUAGGGCCUUAAGGUCUUAUACUUUGACAGACAAAAUUUUAAAAAUAUAAUUAUUAUAAGUCAUUCCUGGAAAUACAAUGCCUUACCCAAAAGAAUUACUUUCUAGUGGUAGAAAUCUGGCACGUGGCAGAUAGUGGGAAAGCUAUCUUAGGGAAGGGGCCCCCUGAGCUCACUGUGAUGGCUUCCCUGGUCUGCUGUGGUGACGGACUGGGCUAGUUACAACAUCUGAGAGAAGUAGCAACAGGAGAGAAAAGAAAAUAGGAGAAGAAGAGAACUUUAUUUUUCGCUUACUACACAUAAAAUGUUUCUUUCUUCUCCAACGGGAGGCGUGAGAAGAGGAUGUGCUUCACACCUGCAGUGAUUCGGGAUGGGCUGGAGCGGGGAGGGGGUCUGACUGUUACCUAACACGUCUCUAGGUGUAUUUUGUUGUGAAAAGCUUUGCCUAUAUUGCUUUAAAAAAAGAAAGAGAAACUCACACUUUUCUCUCUUUGUAGUUGUCGUAUCUGGAUAAUGGUCAUAU
This 8586-nucleotide long non-coding RNA is filed under the name Equus caballus (horse). RNAcentral describes it as "lncRNA (ENSECAG00000057533.1)". The record is from RNAcentral. Lineage: Eukaryota; Metazoa; Chordata; Mammalia; Perissodactyla; Equidae.